AUACCUAGUAGGAGUGCUUGAUUGCAUCUUGUGUAUUUGACUUAGGUGACUCAACACAGGGGUUGGGUCCGUCUAAAACAGGUGUACCCGAAAUAACAAACCAUCUUGAUGAAUUCUAUCUGCUAUGUGAGCAUUUAUUUGUUUUUCCCCGCAUGCUAACCGACUAGGGAAAAUAAAGCAAAAGAAAAACCAAGAGUUAUGUAGGGAAAGGAAAAAAACCCGGUUCUAAAGAAACCCUCAGUAUUUGAAAACAUCCCAAAACUCUGCCAAAUCUUUUCAAAC
Molecule: long non-coding RNA, 282 nt
Filed under: Nicotiana benthamiana
Lineage: Eukaryota; Viridiplantae; Streptophyta; Magnoliopsida; Solanales; Solanaceae
Description: long non-coding RNA (NBEN_LNC014605)
Source: RNAcentral